RNAcentral lists this ribosomal RNA (331 nucleotides) under uncultured Glomeromycotina. Its description in RNAcentral is "LSU rRNA". Lineage: Eukaryota; Fungi; Glomeromycota. The record is from RNAcentral.
UAGUCGUACCUUCGGGUAAUCAGCCUUUCGGGUGCGAUUCUGUGGAGUGUGAGGAGCUUAAACACCUUCAUGUUUUGCAUAUUCGUACUCUUGGGUGUACUUGCCCGUGUGGUUGGUUAACAUCAAUUUUGGUGGUCAUAAAAUGACUGGAGGAAUGUAGCUUCAAUCUUGUAUUGAAGUGUUAUAGCCUUCGGUAGAUGUGAUGAUCGAGAUUGAGGAUUGCAACGGAUACCCUUCGGGGCUACCUGUCUGGUCUCUGAUCGUUGCUCUGGUGCCGAAAGCUUGCUUACGGUUAUCAAAGUCGAUGGUCAAUAGGUUAGAAUGGGUUAAA